AUUGAACGCUGGCGGCAUGCCUUACACAUGCAAGUCGAACGGCAGCACGGGUGCUUGCGCCUGGUGGCGAAUGGCGAACGGGUGAGUAAUAAAUCGGUGCAUGACCUGUUGUGGGGGAUAGCCCGGCGCAAGCCGGAGUAAUACCGCAUACGAUCUACGGCAGAAAGCGGGGGACCUUCGUGCCUCGCGCUUUCGGGUUGGCCGAUGGCUGAUUAGCUAGUUGGUGGGGUAAAGGCCUACCAAGGCGACGAUCAGUAGCUGGUCUGAGAGGACGACCAGCCACACUGGGACUGAGACACGGCCCAGACUCCUACGGGAGGCAGCAGUGGGGAAUAUUGGACAAUGGGCGAAAGCCUGAUCCAGCAAUGCCGCGUGUGUGAAGAAGGCCUUCGGGUUGUAAAGCACUUUUGGCCGGAAGGAAGGCCUUGGCCCUAAUACGGUCGGGGGAUGACGGUACCGGAAGAAGAAGCACCGGCUAACUACGUG
RNAcentral lists this ribosomal RNA (486 nucleotides) under uncultured bacterium. RNAcentral describes it as "partial 16S ribosomal RNA". It matches the Rfam family "Bacterial small subunit ribosomal RNA", at positions 29 to 507 of the family's 1533-position model. The record is from RNAcentral.